CGAGGUUGGCUGUGUGAGUUGGACCAAGCGCACUGGCCGCCGGUUGCCAUGACGGCCUGACGCCCCAAGGGUUUGUUUGGAAAGCCAAGCCCAGCGAACAUGAGGCCACAUGGUAACCAUGACAACCAACACAGCCCAGGGCAGGGGGGAGAUGUGGGGACUGUGGGACGAGUGGAGAGGGAGUAUGUCCAUGCCUCCUCUUUCCAACCUUCCAAUAAUAGUACUACCCUACCACUGCCAGUAGGGAGGGAUGUGGGAAGAGAAAGGUGGAUGGGAGGAGCCUAAGCCUCACCUCUCUAACCUCCCUCUUACACUGCUCUCUCCUACUGCCAUGAGCUGGGAAAAUAACUGACCUCCACAGAGCUGCCAGGGGGAGCAGCCUGGAAGUCAGAACACACUCAGAGUCAUAUACUGUACUGUACAUAACAGACUCACCUUCACAAAGGCUCUCACUGAGAGUCAUAUACUGUACUGUACAGAACAGACUCACCUUCACAAAGGCUCUCACUGAGAGUCAUAUACUGUACUGUACAGAACAGACUCACCUUCACAAAGGUUCUCACUGAGAGUCAUAUACUGUACUGUACAUAACAGACUCACCUUCACAAAGGCUCUCAUGAGAGUCAUAUACUGUACUGUACAGAACAGACUCAUUUACACAUGCAUUGGACCUUUUUUCAGGUGAACACAAAGUCAUAUACAGGCGAAAUGCACACACACACACAGACACCUAUACUACAGAUCUAUAAUAACUAGAACUGCACAUCACACUAUUACCACUCACAACACUACAGAUCUAUAAUAACUAGAACUGCACAUCACACUAUUACCAC
Oncorhynchus tshawytscha (Chinook salmon) is the source of this 833-nucleotide long non-coding RNA. The record is from Ensembl. Lineage: Eukaryota; Metazoa; Chordata; Actinopteri; Salmoniformes; Salmonidae.